GCGGAUGUGGUGAAAUUGGUAGACACACCAGACUUAGGAUCUGGCGCCGCGAGGCAUGGGAGUUCGAGUCUCUUCAUCCGCACCA
This 85-nucleotide transfer RNA is filed under the name Campylobacteraceae bacterium. RNAcentral's name for it is "tRNA-Leu". It matches the Rfam family "tRNA". Rfam says of the family: Transfer RNA (tRNA) molecules are approximately 80 nucleotides in length. Their secondary structure includes four short double-helical elements and three loops (D, anti-codon, and T loops). Further hydrogen bonds mediate the characteristic L-shaped molecular structure. tRNAs have two regions of fundamental functional importance: the anti-codon, which is responsible for specific mRNA codon recognition, and the 3' end, to which the tRNAs corresponding amino acid is attached (by aminoacyl-tRNA synthetases). tRNAs cope with the degeneracy of the genetic code in two manners: having more than one tRNA (with a specific anti-codon) for a particular amino acid; and 'wobble' base-pairing, i.e. permitting non-standard base-pairing at the 3rd anti-codon position. The record is from RNAcentral. Lineage: Bacteria; Pseudomonadati; Campylobacterota; Epsilonproteobacteria; Campylobacterales; Campylobacteraceae.